AGUGAACGCUGGCGGUAGGCCUAACACAUGCAAGUCGAACGGCAGCACAGUAAGAGCUUGCUCUUACGGGUGGCGAGUGGCGGACGGGUGAGGAAUACAUCGGAAUCUACUUUUUCGUGGGGGAUAACGUAGGGAAACUUACGCUAAUACCGCAUACGACCUACGGGUGGAAGCAGGGGAUCUUCGGACCUUGCGCGAUUGAAUGAGCCGAUGUCGGAUUAGCUAGUUGGCGGGGUAAAGGCCCACCAAGGCGACGAUCCGUAGCUGGUCUGAGAGGAUGAUCAGCCACACUGGAACUGGGACACGGUCCAGACUACUACGGGAGGGAGCAGUGGGGAACAUGGGACAAUGGGCGCAAGCCUGAUCCAGCCAUACCGCGUGGGUGAAGAAGGCCUUCGGGUUGUAAAGCCCUUUUGUUGGGAAAGAAAAGCAGCAGGUUAAUACCCCGCUGUUCUGACGGUACCCAAAGAAUAAGCACCGGCUAACUUCGUG
This 492-nucleotide ribosomal RNA is filed under the name uncultured bacterium. Its description in RNAcentral is "partial 16S ribosomal RNA". It matches the Rfam family "Bacterial small subunit ribosomal RNA", at positions 29 to 507 of the family's 1533-position model. The record is from RNAcentral.